This 68-nucleotide transfer RNA is filed under the name Ixodes scapularis (black-legged tick). It matches the Rfam family "tRNA". Rfam says of the family: Transfer RNA (tRNA) molecules are approximately 80 nucleotides in length. Their secondary structure includes four short double-helical elements and three loops (D, anti-codon, and T loops). The record is from Rfam by way of RNAcentral. Lineage: Eukaryota; Metazoa; Arthropoda; Arachnida; Ixodida; Ixodidae.
CUGGUGAGCUCAGUUGGUAGAGCGCCCCACUGGAAAUGGAGAGGUCCCUGGUUCAAUACCCGGACCAG